CUAUGGCAACUAUUUUGUCAUGGCGGAAGGAG
This 32-nucleotide non-coding RNA is filed under the name unclassified sequences. RNAcentral's name for it is "L31-Firmicutes ribosomal protein leader". It matches the Rfam family "L31-Firmicutes ribosomal protein leader". The record is from RNAcentral.